CCCAUCCCAGGGGGGCUCAGGGUGGUGGCACAGUCCCAUCCCAGGGGGGCUCAGCCCUCCUGCAGUGCCAGCUGUGGCUCUGCUGGAGCAGGGAUCCUGCACAAGGGGGGAGUUUUCCUCUGCAGCUCCAGGGCUGCUGGAGAUGGGCCUGCUCUCCCUCUGGGAAUGCAGGGCAGCAGAAAGCUGCUCCUCUGGGAAUGCAGUGGGCAAAGGCUGCUGUGCUGUUCCCAGGGCAGAUUGGAUCCAGGGAGGAAUGCUUGGCUCCUCCCCUGGGAUGAUGGAAUUUGAUCAGCCAUGCAGUGUUGGAACUCAGGCCAUCCCUCUGGGAGUCCAGAGUUCCUGGGACCCUUGCCAGGGGGCUCGGAGACCCUGGCACACAGCCCAGAACACCAGCGGGUUUGAUUAUGAACCACGGAACAAAUUGUCACCUUUCUAGAAAGAGAUAAAAGCCACAAUAGUGUAAAUAGUGUAAGAAUAAAAUAAUUACAGAGUGUAAAUGUAGGUUUUAGGAUUUUUGGUAUAGGGGUUUCUGGGGACAAGAUGGAGGGAUUUGGGCAUGUCUAGCUUUUCUUCUUCUUCUCUACCUCCAUCUUCACUGGUGAUGUUGGCACUUUUAGAUUGGUUUAGAGUAGAAACCCACUAUCUAAUAUAGAUGAUAGGUAUUGGAAAAUAACUGUAAAUAUUGUACACGUAGUCUGUAGUAUAUAAAGAUAAUACCGCCCUGGGGGUGGGGGGAGUGCCUCUGACUGUCCAGCUGAGCGGAUCUUGGCUGGGCAGGGAGAAAGAAUUUUAUAGAUAAGAUGCAAUAAACAACCUUGAGACUGAAAAAAUGAAGAGCCCUGACUCCUUCAAGCACCAGGCUGGGAAAAGAAACUUUCAAACUUUUCUCGGGGUCACUCUGAUCAGCUAGAGAGAGAGACCCCGACAACUGGGGUUCCCUGGGUGGGCUGGAAGAAAGACACGACAAUGCAGGGACACUCCCUGGCCAUGAACUGGAGAUAAUUAAUAAUUAUUGGCCCAUGAACAGCAGAGAUCUCCUGGAGGGAGAAUUGGUUGUGGAAGAGAUAAAACUGCCCAAUGAACAGAAGAGAACUGCCCUACCUCUGACAGGUGGGAAAUAGAGCACACAUAUUUUACAAUCCCAGACAGCAUCCAACCCCCAAACUGCUCUUCAUUCCUUCUCCCAGGCUCACUGGUGCUGGACAAACUUAAGAGUGUUCAGUCCCAGGGACAGUUUCCUCUGGCUUGUCCUGCACCAUGGAUUGCUGCUGCUUGUCUCAUCCACCUGCAAAUCCAGGCAUGAGCAAUGUGCAGCUCUCCUGUCAUAGUGUGGCACAACUCCCUUUCUUAUUGGUGUGACAUGGAGCAAUGCCAUGGCUGGCUCUCACAAUUACAGGGCAAAUAGCCUGUGUAUAUGUUAAGAAAUGUUUUGUAGAUUUAUACUUACAUUUUACUCCCUUGUUUUGUUAUCAGGGGUGCCCUGGGUUUGGGACAUUUGGGAGGGUUGGCUCCUUACCAUGGCAGCACCUGAGCUCCAGUCAGGAUUUGAGGAAGAGAUCUCCACCACUGGGCAGUGGAGGAGUCGAUGGACAGAGCUUUGGGAGGAUCUAAAGUGUUAAAAGGUGGAACCUCCAUGGUGUGGGUGAGUACAGGGUGGGAAAGAUCCUCUGCUCCUGGCACUGCAAUAUUUCCUCUAUUCAGUCUUCUGUUGUAUUUUUGAUAAGGUUUUAAUAAACCUUUUACAUGUU
Long non-coding RNA from Serinus canaria (Common canary), 1748 nucleotides. RefSeq lists it as uncharacterized. The record is from RefSeq and is a predicted model, not a curated record. Lineage: Eukaryota; Metazoa; Chordata; Aves; Passeriformes; Fringillidae. The transcript has 2 exons.